GCCUACGGGGCGCAGCAGUGGGGAAUAUUGGGCAAUGGGCGCAAGCCUGACCCAGCAACGCCGCGUGAAGGAAGAAGGCUUUCGGGUUGUAAACUUCUUUUAAGAGGGAAGAGUAGAAGACGGUACCUCUUGAAUAAGCCACGGCUAACUACGUGCCAGCAGCCGCGGUAAUAAGUAGGUGGCAAGCGUUGUCCGGAUUUACUGGGUGUAAAGGGCGUGUAGCCGGGCCGGCAAGUCAGAUGUGAAAUCCCAAGGCUCAACCUUGAAACUGCAUUUGAAACUGU
RNAcentral lists this ribosomal RNA (284 nucleotides) under uncultured bacterium. RNAcentral's name for it is "partial 16S ribosomal RNA". It matches the Rfam family "Bacterial small subunit ribosomal RNA", at positions 337 to 636 of the family's 1533-position model. The record is from RNAcentral.